AUGGUGGACCCACAAGGAUUUGAGUCUAUGUACAAAAUAAGAAGAAGCACCUUCAGUUACAUUUGCAACUUGGUGAGGUUGCCAUUUUUGGAAGAUAUGAUGGCGAGGGAUCACACCUUUGUUGAUGGGAGAGUAAUGUCUUUACAAGAUCGAGUAGCCACUGCUCUGAGAAUGUUGAAUUCUGGUGAACCACCGGUGGUCAUAGGAUCCUAUCUUGGUGUCAACGAGUCCACUAUCUCGCUGGUAACUCAGAGGUUUAUUGAGGAUAUUCAGGAGCGAGUGUUGCACCAUUUGGACUGGCCAUACAAUUUCCAAGCAAUGGAGAAGAUCAAGUGCAGGUUUGACAAGAUGUACGGCUUGCCAAAUUGCUGCGGUGUUGUACAUACAACUUACUUUGAAUUUGGAUCACCAAAACUUGACCAUGAGGAGAACAUUGACACACUAAUGCAAGCCGUUGUUAAUCCAGAUAUGAGGUUCACAAAUAUUUAG
Molecule: ribosomal RNA, 489 nt
Filed under: Triticum aestivum (bread wheat)
Lineage: Eukaryota; Viridiplantae; Streptophyta; Magnoliopsida; Poales; Poaceae
Description: partial small subunit ribosomal RNA
Source: RNAcentral